AGUUUCGGGGCCUUCAUCAGACGACACGCUGCCCAUGAGUUGUCGCGACGGCCUCGACCCUCGUAAGUCUGACGGGGAAUCUUCGUUCUUCAUGUUGCCGCAAAUCACACAGCACGAACAAAACUAAUAACUUUAUAGAAUAAGUACGGGUGCAAGAGAAAGCUUCAGUACGGUUAACAUUUCGCAAGAUAUCUUGUACUAAACGGAGGUCGUAUUGCGAGGCAUGAACGUGCGACACGGACGACGCCGGCGGCUGACUGCGGUGUGAGUGCACGUGGGCAACGAUCCGAUAUCAUAACAUAUUCGCCUACUUCAAACCUAAACAGUUCGACUUUUGAAGCCUUAUGAACAUGAACAGAAUGAAAACAAAACACAUUUUCUUUGAAGACUUCAGGUUCUGUGACGGAUUAUCAUUGAUUAUGUAUAUAAUCUACUGUUGCCUUACUAGUCUCUUGAUACAAUGUUUUCAAUGGAAUGUAAGUGUAUUUCUGGAAAUUAUUUUUAUGCAUAAAUUAUGAAAUUUAAAUUAACCUUUAAUUUUUAAUGAAGUAAUUUUUAAUUUUCGAUUAAAUUAUGAUUUCUAUGGUAGAUACUAGUUACACACUGAAAUUCGUUAAGCCAGUUUUUGAGAAAUAAUCAUUUCAUUAUUUUCUAUUAAAGAGAGAAUCUGUUGUGGAAGGUGGUUGAAAACAAAUAGUAGGUAGUGUAAUUAAUAAGUCUGGUAGAUCAUCAAACCAGGUUUUAUCCAUCCUUAUUUUUAUAAAAAUAAUAACUGUCUUAUACUUGAAAAUACUAAUAUUUUUUUAAAAAAGUAAUUCAAUAUAGUAUUUAUGAUAACAUGCAUAUUGUCACCAAUUUCAAAGAAAAAUAAUCUAUAACAUAACUUUGAAAAUAUUUUAAAUUUAUUUUAUAUCUCUUCAUUAAUUUUGCUCAAAAUAAAAAUAGAUAUAGAUAUUGUUCUUUUAACCAUCAUGUUCCUGGGUCGUUUUAUUAUAUGAAUUAUUAAGUGAACUAUUAUGGCCUAUUGUGAGCCUAAACAUAUAAGUGCCACCUUGCUGCUUAUUUCUGCAUUAACAAGGUAUACAUUUAAGUCUGAAGCAACUAAAGCUCCAAUGAAAAAUAGAAAAGUGAGAAAAAAGAAGCAAUUCAAGUUAGACUCCAUGUCUCAAGUAAUAUCUAAAAGAUCUGGUAAACAAUUUAGUGGGUAUAAGGUACACAUCAAGAUUUAUAAAAAAAUUAUGUCUUGAAGGUGUAAUUUAUGGACUUAUAAUAAUUUAUAUCCAUGAACGAAAAAUUCAAAGAUAUACAGACAGUUAUAUGAAACAUUAACAUUCUUUUAGCUAAAAGAAUGUUAAUGUAAUCUUAAUGCUUAAAAAAUUUUUUUUUUUCUUAAGUUAUAGGCAUCAUAACUAUAUAUUAAGAAUAUGGUUAUGGGUUAUCUUGACAAUUCAAUCAGUAACAAAACUAAGAAGAAUUGUAAAGUAACCAGGGCAAGAAUUUACAAAAUCUAUGAAUUUGAAGUGGAGUUUUUUGUUUUGUUUUAUAUGAGUUUUAUAAAUUAUUUUAUAAAUGACAACCCUUUAAACUUUAAUGUCCUGUCUCAAAAGUCACAAAAUUUUAAAGAUAACAAAAUAGAUACAAUAUUCUAUUUAAUAAUUAUAUAAAUAAAUAAAUAAUAUUAAGAUACAAA
Molecule: long non-coding RNA, 1690 nt
Organism: Bombyx mori (domestic silkworm)
Lineage: Eukaryota; Metazoa; Arthropoda; Insecta; Lepidoptera; Bombycidae
Exons: 2
Source: RefSeq, a predicted model, not a curated record